UGCUCUUUUGAGUCACUGGGGGACUCAAACAAUUUCAGGACAAGCCUGAAGAUAAGGUUGACUAGGGAGGAUGAGGUGCAGAAGUGGCAGGAGGAUUUACAGGCGUCCUCGGGCUUGACCUGGCGAAAGUCAAAGACCUACCCAGAUGCUGGUCAUGGCUCUAACAAGUAUAGGGUUGACUUGAGGUGCCAACACAACACCCGCACCAGUACUGCCAAGAGUAGCAAAACACCUCCUGCCGUGCAUUUAUGUACCUGAUUCUGAAAAGACAGACGUAUAGUAAAGGGCAGAAGUCAAGCUGGUUGACUUUGUCCACACCAGGCUGGAGGCGCAUUACAUCUGCCGACUCACAGAUGUGGCCAACAACCGGGUCAGAGGAGAGGAGCGCACCGCAGGAGCAGUCGACUGUGGGGCGAUUGUGAAGGAGGAUGAGAUGAACUACACUGUGCCCAGCUCAACUGGUCCUGAGAGGUACCAUGUCAGUAUGGACAUUGGCUUUUGCUCAUGUCCAAAUGGGAUCUCUGGGCAACGUUGCAAGCACCAGGUCGCAGUCGAGAAGAUGUUCGAGCUCCAGGACACUUUCCUCACACCUCCACGAUCGCUACGAGGAAACUGUACCACGAGAUAGCCACUGGUGGAAUGGACUUUCCAGAGGACUAGUUUCAGUCAUUGCAGCUACCGCUGUCUUAUGAAGACACAGCAGGAAUCUCAUGUAGCGGACCCACACCUAGUGCCCUGGACCCUGUUAAGAUGCAGCCACCCCACUCUCAUGCACUCCCAGAAGGAAUUUCAUGUGAGUUUACACAGCAGUCAUCAUUGUCAUGUUUUACAGUUUUUGUAUUUGUGUUUGUAUCUAUUUUUGGUCAGUCUGUCUCUUGUUAGACAUUAAACUCUCCUUCAGGUGGAGGCGAUGCCCACACUGAGUUCUGUGAGGACAUUCCUCCAGAUGACACAUAUUCGGCGCACUAUGCAGACACAUCUGUACUGGAGGACGAGCUGGCACGUGUCUUCAAGUCACUCACACUCAAGCUGAGGGGUGACCCCAGCUUCAUAGCCCCUCUGACAUCAUUCAUUGCGUCCAGUGACAAAAUGGCCACGGACAGUGCACUACAAUCAGCCUUUUCAAUAUUUGGGAAGAGCCCAAUGGCCAUGGCCACUGGAUACCAAAGGACGAAGGGGUAUCUCCAGACGACUGCCCAAAUCUCGGUCCAGCCGACAGCAGUGGGGAGGAGGAAGACGCACCUGGGAGGUAGAAGGGCCUUGCCAUUGGGACGUCCCUCAAAAGCUUCCAGGGAGGACCACCCCUAUAAGAGGACAGGGAGGAAGCCAGCCGCUCCUCACAGCUUGGCUCACUGUGUGGAAGCCAAUAUGUCCCUAGGUGGAACACACUGAUGAAAUAUUAAUAAAAAUUUGAGAGUGCUAAUUUUUUCUACCCUUCUACCCAUGAUUGUGAUGCAGAAGUUGGACUGUGUAGGCCGUGUUCUAUAUAUAUCCAUGAUGCAGGCUACUAGUUUGACUUCAGAGUCUGAUCUGACUGAUUAUCCAGUUUUGCAAUGCUGUGCGGGCUGAUCUGAUCACCUACCACAAUUCAAAUAGCCUAGGUCUAAGCCAAGCACAUUAGAAUAAUUAUUCAAUAUAUAAAUAAGUUCUACAUAAUUAAAUUAUAGUAAUGCAAGUAAUUAUUCAAUAUAUAAAUAAUUUCUA
This is a long non-coding RNA of Epinephelus moara (kelp grouper), 1704 nucleotides long. RefSeq lists it as uncharacterized. The record is from RefSeq and is a predicted model, not a curated record. The transcript is spliced from 6 exons. NCBI's taxonomy places the organism in Eukaryota, Metazoa, Chordata, Actinopteri, Perciformes, Serranidae.